UACAGAGGGGGCAAGCGUUGUUCGGAAUUACUGGGCGUAAAGGGCGCGUAGGCGGCCUUCUAAGUCGAACGUGAAAUCCCCGGGCUCAACCCGGGAACUGCGUCCGAUACUGGGGGGCUUGAAUCCGGGAGAGGGAUGUGGAAUUCCAGGUGUAGCGGUGAAAUGCGUAGAUAUCUGGAGGAACACCGGUGGCGAAGGCGGCAUCCUGGACCGGUAUUGACGCUGAGGCGCGAAAGCCAGGGAAGCAAACGGG
This 253-nucleotide ribosomal RNA is filed under the name uncultured bacterium. Its description in RNAcentral is "partial 16S ribosomal RNA". It matches the Rfam family "Bacterial small subunit ribosomal RNA", at positions 524 to 776 of the family's 1533-position model. The record is from RNAcentral.